RNAcentral lists this ribosomal RNA (433 nucleotides) under uncultured bacterium. RNAcentral describes it as "partial 16S ribosomal RNA". It matches the Rfam family "Bacterial small subunit ribosomal RNA", at positions 29 to 507 of the family's 1533-position model. The record is from RNAcentral.
AACGAACGCUGGCGGCAUGCCUAACACAUGCAAGUCGAACGAGACCUUCGGGUCUAGUGGCGCACGGGUGCGUAACGCGUGGGAACCUGCCCUUAGGUUCGGAAUAACUCCCCGAAAGGGGUGCUAAUACCGGAUAAUGUCUUCGGACCAAAGAUUUAUCGCCUUUGGAUGGGCCCGCGUUGGUUUAGCUAGUUGGUAGGGUAAAAGCCUACCAAGGCGACGAUCCAUAGCUGGUCUGAGAGGAGGAUCAGCCACACUGGGACUGAGACACGGCCCAGACUCCUACGGGAGGCAGCAGUGGGGAAUAUUGGAAAAUGGGCGAAAGCCUGAUCCAGCAAUGCCGCGUGAGUGAUGAAGGCCUUAGGGUUGUAAAGCUCUUUUACCCGGGAUGAUAAUGACAGUACCGGGAGAAUAAGCUCCGGCUAACUCCGUG